This 853-nucleotide long non-coding RNA is filed under the name Gossypium barbadense (sea-island cotton). RNAcentral describes it as "long non-coding RNA (GBAR_LNC021865)". Lineage: Eukaryota; Viridiplantae; Streptophyta; Magnoliopsida; Malvales; Malvaceae. The record is from RNAcentral.
GAAAAGAAAAACUUAGAGAAGAAAAAAAACCCUUCUGGCGCUCUGCUAGGGUUUAAUACCCAAGCCUCCUCGCGCCGCCGCCUUAUCACCCUCCGUCGCGACUCCGUGUAGUCGGAGGCCGGAGGGCUGCCAAAUCUGGGUUCUUAAACCCCUCCUAACAACUCUCGAGAGCCAAGGUAAGUCUAUCCCUUCCCAUUUACUUUUAUUAUUAUUUUUUAAAACGGAACAAAUGAAAUAAAGAGAAUAAAAAACGAAGAAAAAAUUUCACCUUGAAUCAAAAAAACAAUCUGUAUUCAAUGCUUUUUUUCUAUUUCUUGUGUAUUUUCUCCCUUAAUACCAUCUUCCCCUCGUUUACAAAAAUACUAGCUUUAUAUAUAUAGCCGAAAUGAAAAAAAUAAAGUGAAUAAAUAUGUUUAUUUUUUUGUUGUUUUUCUCUUUGCGGACUCCUUGAGUCCGUGUUUGCAGGCGUGUGGGGAGCAAACGUGCGUGGAGAGGCCCUCCGAGUCUUGCGGCGAUCGGAGUCCUUGCUGGAGGCAAGGGCUUGCUGCGGCUAAGGUUCUUCUUUUUUGAUUUCAAUUUUGUUGUAUUGGGCUGCUAGUUACUGAGUUUGGGGUUUGGGUCUGUUAGGUGGUUUGGGCCUGAGUGUUAUAAUGUAAAGUGGGUGUUGGAUUGGGCCUGGGCACAUUUGGGUUUAUACAAUUUGGAUAGUAUAACAUAUCAUCAUCUUUGAAGGUACAACUCUUAGUACUUGAACCAAAUAAUUGACGUUUAGACCUUCUCAGAGAAUGAUAUCAAAGUUACUUUGAUGCUAUUAUUGUGUACGUUGAACCAAAUAAAAAUGUUUCGAACUCCU